UCACUGGAGGACUAGUGGUUAGGCCACGGCGCUCACUACUGUGGCCCGGGCUCGAUUCCCGCCCAGGGAA
Molecule: transfer RNA, 70 nt
Filed under: Pangasianodon gigas (Mekong giant catfish)
Lineage: Eukaryota; Metazoa; Chordata; Actinopteri; Siluriformes; Pangasiidae
Description: tRNA-Sec
Source: RNAcentral